AACGAACGCUGGCGGCAUGCCUAACACAUGCAAGUCGAACGAUGCUUUCGGGCAUAGUGGCGCACGGGUGCGUAACGCGUGGGAAUCUGCCCUUGGGUUCGGAAUAACAGUGAGAAAUUGCUGCUAAUACCGGAUGAUGUCUUCGGACCAAAGAUUUAUCGCCCAGGGAUGAGCCCGCGUAGGAUUAGCUAGUUGGUGGGGUAAUGGCCUACCAAGGCGACGAUCCUUAGCUGGUCUGAGGAUGAUCAGCCACACUGGGACUGAGACACGGCCCAGACUCCUACGGGAGGCAGCAGUGGGGAAUAUUGGACAAUGGGCGCAAGCCUGAUCCAGCAAUGCCGCGUGAGUGAUGAAGGCCUUAGGGUUGUAAAGCUCUUUUACCCGGGAUGAUAAUGACAGUACCGGGAGAAUAAGCUCCGGCUAACUCCGUG
This 431-nucleotide ribosomal RNA is filed under the name uncultured bacterium. RNAcentral's name for it is "partial 16S ribosomal RNA". It matches the Rfam family "Bacterial small subunit ribosomal RNA", at positions 29 to 507 of the family's 1533-position model. The record is from RNAcentral.